This 73-nucleotide transfer RNA is filed under the name Candidatus Pacebacteria bacterium RIFOXYA1_FULL_38_18. Its description in RNAcentral is "tRNA-Pro". It matches the Rfam family "tRNA". From Rfam's summary of the family: Transfer RNA (tRNA) molecules are approximately 80 nucleotides in length. Their secondary structure includes four short double-helical elements and three loops (D, anti-codon, and T loops). RNAcentral also lists the same sequence under 5 other names. Lineage: Bacteria; Bacillati; Minisyncoccota. The record is from RNAcentral.
CGGGGAUUAGCGCAGUUGGUAGCGCGCACGGUUCGGAACCGUGAGGUCGUCAGUUCGAGUCUGGCAUCCCCGA